GCCGGGCGUGGUGGCGCGCGCCUGUAGUCCCAGCUACUCGGAGGCUGAGGCGGGAGAAUGGCAUGAACCCGGGAGGUGGAGCUUGCAGUGAGCCGAGAUCGCGCCACUGCACUCCAGCCUGGGCGACAGAGUGAGACUCCGUCUCAA
Molecule: small RNA, 147 nt
Filed under: Macaca mulatta (Rhesus monkey)
Lineage: Eukaryota; Metazoa; Chordata; Mammalia; Primates; Cercopithecidae
Description: Metazoan signal recognition particle RNA (ENSMMUG00000050581.1)
Source: Rfam by way of RNAcentral